UACAGAGGGUGCAAACGUUGUUCGGAAUUACUGGGCGUAAAGCGCGUGUAGGCGGCUACGCAAGUCGGAUGUGAAAUCCCGUGGCUCAACCACGGAAGUGCACCCGAAACUGCGCAGCUGGAGUCUCGGAGAGGAAGGUGGAAUGCUUGGUGUAGAGGUGAAAUUCGUAGAUAUCAAGCGGAACACCGGUGGCGAAGGCGGCCUUCUGGACGAUGACUGACGCUGAGACGCGAAAGCGUGGGGAGCAAACAGG
RNAcentral lists this ribosomal RNA (253 nucleotides) under uncultured bacterium. RNAcentral describes it as "partial 16S ribosomal RNA". It matches the Rfam family "Bacterial small subunit ribosomal RNA", at positions 524 to 776 of the family's 1533-position model. The record is from RNAcentral.